GGAGCGUGUCGUACCAACAAGGAAGGGGCUUGAAAUGAUGAAAAGCUUAGCUCCCUCACUGGGAAAAUUGCUUUCCUCCCCCCUAUCUUUCUCGUUCCUUGUCCUGUGUAAAAUAGAGAUUAUGAUUAUCCUAGGGGAACUGUGAGCUUAAAUUCCUUGCUGUUUGUAAAAAUGUGCUUCCACGAUGCAGGAGAAAGCUGCAGUUGCUGUGAGAGCAGCUAGAUUAGGGCUAGCCUUAAUGAUCUGUAGUUUAAGAAUUUCCAUCAGCAGGCCUAGAUAUGGGACAAAAUUCUACCUGCACAUAUGAGUAACAAACCUGUUAAUGACUUAGGCCAUCAAGGACAGUAGGGCAUGGGCUUGUCAUCCUUUCAGGGUAAGCUGGACUCAAGAACAAUAUGUGUGUUUCUUACCUAUGUAGUUCACUCCAUUCAGAAACUCUCUCUUCAUGUCUUGGAGCUGCACCUGGAUUUGUUCUAGUCUGAGGCUGAAUUCUUCUGGCCGGCAUUGUUCUAGAGCAAUCGGACAGCUGAAUUUACAGAAGGCCAGGACACACACAUGCCUUUGUCCUGACAAGGUGGUCAGAGGGAGGAAGAUCCUGCCGCAUGACUGUAUUCAAUGGCUGGGACAAGUGGAGGUUACUGCCCAGUGCUCCUGUGCACUCAACAAGGUCCUCUGGAGCCUGGAUCAACCCUUUCUGGUUGCACAGCCAAAACCCACAGCAGGCCACUCCUGAACUGGUCCAAUCUGGCUGCACAAUUGCUUCAGCAUGGUUGAGCUUAACUGACCGGAGAGCUUUGUUAUCGCUCACCAGACCUCAGGUAAAUGCUGCUGUGCAGAAACUGGUCCUUGCUGUGAUGUAGCAUCAUGGUGACAUUACAGUCACUUAUAAUUCCAGUCACUUAGCAGUCUGUCCCAAAAGCCCUUUAUGAGAAAUGCCCUAUUAGCUCCUUUGUCAGGUUGUUCCCAAAUUCAUGGCAGGACAGAAAAGGAAAUUUGUGUGGAAAGGUGAAACAUGGAAGAAAGAGAAUCUGCUCUGCCUGGUAAAGAGCUACCACUUACCU
This is a long non-coding RNA of Falco peregrinus (peregrine falcon), 1061 nucleotides long. RefSeq lists it as uncharacterized. NCBI's taxonomy places the organism in Eukaryota, Metazoa, Chordata, Aves, Falconiformes, Falconidae. The transcript has 3 exons. The record is from RefSeq and is a predicted model, not a curated record.